This 402-nucleotide ribosomal RNA is filed under the name uncultured bacterium. RNAcentral describes it as "bacterial SSU rRNA". It matches the Rfam family "Bacterial small subunit ribosomal RNA", at positions 355 to 774 of the family's 1533-position model. The record is from RNAcentral.
UUGGGAAUCUUGGACAAUGGGGGAAACCCUGAUCCAGCCAUGCCGCGUGAGUGAUGAAGGCCUUCGGGUUGUAAAACUCUUUCGACGGGGACGAUAAUGACGGUACCCGUAGAAGAAGCUCCGGCUAACUUCGUGCCAGCAGCCGCGGUAAUACGAAGGGGGCUAGCGUUGUUCGGAAUUACUGGGCGUAAAGCGCGCGCAGGCGGUUUUCCAAGUCAGUGGUGAAAGCCCGGAGCUCAACUCCGGAACUGCCAUUGAAACUGGCGAACUUGAGUACGAGAGUGGUGAGUGGAAUUCCCAGUGUAGAGGUGAAAUUCGUAGAUAUUGGGAAGAACACCGGUGGCGAAGGCGGCUCACUGGCUCGUAACUGACGCUCAGGCGCGACAGCGUGGGGAUCAAACA